Molecule: ribosomal RNA, 447 nt
Filed under: uncultured bacterium
Lineage: Bacteria
Description: partial 16S ribosomal RNA
Rfam family: Bacterial small subunit ribosomal RNA
Source: RNAcentral
AACGAACGCUGGCGGCAGGCUUAACACAUGCAAGUCGAGCGCCCCGCAAGGGGAGCGGCAGACGGGUGAGUAACGCGUGGGAACGUACCUUUUGGUUCGGAACAACUGAGGGAAACUUUAGCUAAUACCGGAUAAGCCCUUACGGGGAAAGAUUUAUCGCAGAAAGAUAGGCCCGCGUCUGAUUAGCUAGUUGGUGAGGUAAUGGCUCACCAAGGCGACGAUCAGUAGCGGGUCUGAGAGGAUGAACAGCCAAAUUGGGACUGAGACACGGCCCAAACUCCUACGGGAGGCAGCAGUGGGGAAGAUUGGACAAUGGGCGCAAGCCUGAUCCAGCCAUGCCGCGUGAGUGAUGAAGGCCCUAGGGUUGUAAAGCUCUUUUGUGCGGGCAGAUAAUGACGGUACCGCAAGAAUAAGCCCCGGCUAACUUCGUGCCAGCCGCCGCCGUAA